This 370-nucleotide ribosomal RNA is filed under the name uncultured bacterium. Its description in RNAcentral is "partial 16S ribosomal RNA". It matches the Rfam family "Bacterial small subunit ribosomal RNA", at positions 338 to 700 of the family's 1533-position model. The record is from RNAcentral.
CCUACGGGUGGCAGCAGUGGGGAAUAUUGCGCAAUGGGCGAAAGCCUGACGCAGCGACGCCGCGUGAGGGAUGAAGGUCUUCGGAUCGUAAACCUCUGUCAGCAGGGAAGAACGGUCACUGUGCUAAUCAGCAGUGAAUUGACGGUACCUGCAAAGGAAGCACCGGCUAACUCCGUGCCAGCAGCCGCGGUAAUACGGAGGGUGCGAGCGUUAAUCGGAAUUACUGGGCGUAAAGCGCUCGUAGGCGGUAUGUCAAGUCAAGGGUGAAAUCCCCGCGCUCAACGUGGGAACUGCCUUUGAAUCUGGAAAACUGGAUGGUGUGAGAGGAUAGUGGAAUUCCAGGUGUAGGAGGGAAAUCGGUAGAUAGCUG